GGGAAAAAAAUAAUCUUGCAUCCAGUUUACAAUCUUCUCUUUGUGGGUGGUAAAAUUUGUCAGAUUUUCUCACUUUUGCUUGAUCUUCUCACCUUUGCUCGAUCAUUGUACUGUAUUUUUUUUCUAUUUUAUUUUUUGUUCAAUUUUUUGAUUAAAAAUCGAGUCUUUUUCAUGCUAUUUUUCUUUCUUUUCGGAUGAAAAAAAAU
This 206-nucleotide long non-coding RNA is filed under the name Salvia miltiorrhiza (redroot sage). Its description in RNAcentral is "long non-coding RNA (SMIL_LNC012220)". Lineage: Eukaryota; Viridiplantae; Streptophyta; Magnoliopsida; Lamiales; Lamiaceae. The record is from RNAcentral.